This 762-nucleotide ribosomal RNA is filed under the name uncultured Streptococcus sp. RNAcentral describes it as "bacterial SSU rRNA". It matches the Rfam family "Bacterial small subunit ribosomal RNA", at positions 28 to 776 of the family's 1533-position model. The record is from RNAcentral. Lineage: Bacteria; Bacillati; Bacillota; Bacilli; Lactobacillales; Streptococcaceae.
GACGAACGCAGGCGGCGUGCCUAAUACAUGCAAGUAGAACGCUGAAGGAGGAGCUUGCUUCUCCGGAUGAGUUGCGAACGGGUGAGUAACGCGUAGGUAACCUGCCUGGUAGCGGGGAUAACUAUUGGAAACGAUAGCUAAUACCGCAUAACAGUAGAUAUUGCAUGAUAUCUGCUUGAAAGGUGCAAAUGCAUCACUACCAGAUGGACCUGCGUUGUAUUAGCUAGUUGGUGGGGUAACGGCUCACCAAGGCGACGAUACAUAGCCGACCUGAGAGGGUGAUCGGCCACACUGGGACUGAGACACGGCCCAGACUCCUACGGGAGGCAGCAGUAGGGAAUCUUCGGCAAUGGACGGAAGUCUGACCGAGCAACGCCGCGUGAGUGAAGAAGGUUUUCGGAUCGUAAAGCUCUGUUGUAAGAGAAGAACGAGUGUGAGAGUGGAAAGUUCACACUGUGACGGUAUCUUACCAGAAAGGGACGGCUAACUACGUGCCAGCAGCCGCGGUAAUACGUAGGUCCCGAGCGUUGUCCGGAUUUAUUGGGCGUAAAGCGAGCGCAGGCGGUUAGAUAAGUCUGAAGUUAAAGGCUGUGGCUUAACCAUAGUACGCUUUGGAAACUGUUUAACUUGAGUGCAAGAGGGGAGAGUGGAAUUCCAUGUGUAGCGGUGAAAUGCGUAGAUAUAUGGAGGAACACCGGUGGCGAAAGCGGCUCUCUGGCUUGUAACUGACGCUGAGGCUCGAAAGCGUGGGGAGCAAACAGG